CUGUAGGCUUGAUCUGAAGUCCACAGAAGUAAAGGGAUAAACCCUUAUCAGCUCUGGCCCAGCCCUUAACACAGCAAGUUCUUUGGCCAAAAGAGGCAUACUAUUACAAGAUCUUCAAGGGACAAACACUAAUUAAGGAUAAUCUUGUAGAAAAUGUUACUUUUUUGGAACUAUUUAACAUGGGAAAUACUGGGGAACUUCCUGAAGAUCUCAAGCAACCUGGCCUACCACCACCGUCCCCUCCCCAUGCGAGUUGGCCAUGUUUAACCAUCCACUUGCCGAUAGGAGGAUUCCAGUCCUCAGAUGCUGCACUGCCCAGAGUGAGAACAUUACCAUCAGGAAUGGGUGCAUGAGAAUUUUCACCUUCUAAAAUGGAGAUUUGUGAUCCAGUGACUUGAACCU
Gymnogyps californianus (California condor) is the source of this 402-nucleotide long non-coding RNA. RefSeq lists it as uncharacterized. The transcript has 3 exons. The record is from RefSeq and is a predicted model, not a curated record. NCBI's taxonomy places the organism in Eukaryota, Metazoa, Chordata, Aves, Accipitriformes, Cathartidae.